UAGAUGAGGACUCUGAGA
This 18-nucleotide microRNA is filed under the name Ornithorhynchus anatinus (platypus). RNAcentral describes it as "oan-miR-1371". The record is from miRBase by way of RNAcentral. Lineage: Eukaryota; Metazoa; Chordata; Mammalia; Monotremata; Ornithorhynchidae.